Molecule: small nuclear RNA, 303 nt
Filed under: Anolis carolinensis (green anole)
Lineage: Eukaryota; Metazoa; Chordata; Lepidosauria; Squamata; Anolidae
Description: 7SK RNA
Rfam family: 7SK RNA
About the family: 7SK was discovered as an abundant small nuclear RNA in the mid-70s but a possible function has only recently been suggested.
Source: Rfam by way of RNAcentral
GGAUGUGAGGGUGACCUGGUUGUGACAUCUGUCAUCUCAUUGAUCACCAGGGUUGAUUUGGCUGGCUAGAUAGGUAUCCCUUUCUCCCUCUCCACUUGAUGUGUGUCCCUCCCAAAUCUGCAUGCUUGGUGGAAGAGAAUGACACCCCAGGUAGGGGUUUACCAAGGUUUCUAGUCUUUGGACCCGGGUAUACGAUAGCUACACUCCCCUUCCAGAAUCUCCAAACAAGCUGAAGGUGUGCUGUCAAAUCAUGACAUAUGGAGACUCUAGGAAAUUGAGUGUGUGAUUCACUAAGGUCGCCCU